AACGAACGCUGGCGGCAUGCCUAACACAUGCAAGUCGAACGGGAUCCUAGCUUGCUAGGUGAGAGUGGCGGACGGGUGAGUAACACGUGGGAAUCUGCCUUUUGGUUCGGGAUAACCGCGGGAAACUGCGGCUAAUACCGAAUGCCCUCGAGAGAGGAAAGAUUUAUCGCCAGAAGAGGAGCCCGCGUCCGAUUAGGUAGUUGGUGGGGUAAAGGCCUACCAAGCCGACGAUCGGUAGCUGGUCUGAGAGGAUGAUCAGCCACACUGGGACUGAGAUACGGCCCAGACUCCUACGGGAGGCAGCAGUGGGGAAUAUUGGACAAUGGGGGCAACCCUGAUCCAGCAAUGCCGCGUGAGUGAUGAAGGCCUUAGGGUUGUAAAGCUCUUUUGCCAGGGAAGAUGAUGACUGUACCUGGAGAAUAAGCCCCGGCUAACUUCGUGCCAGCAGCCGC
RNAcentral lists this ribosomal RNA (452 nucleotides) under uncultured bacterium. RNAcentral describes it as "bacterial SSU rRNA". It matches the Rfam family "Bacterial small subunit ribosomal RNA", at positions 29 to 518 of the family's 1533-position model. The record is from RNAcentral.